This 707-nucleotide ribosomal RNA is filed under the name Roccellina capensis. RNAcentral's name for it is "SSU rRNA". It matches the Rfam family "Eukaryotic small subunit ribosomal RNA", at positions 109 to 826 of the family's 1831-position model. The record is from RNAcentral. Lineage: Eukaryota; Fungi; Ascomycota; Arthoniomycetes; Arthoniales; Roccellaceae.
GUUAUCGUUUAUUUGAUAGUACCUUACUACUUGGAUAACCGUGGUAAUUCUAGAGCUAAUACAUGCUAAAAACCCCGACUUCGGAAGGGGUGUAUUUAUUAGAUAAAAAGCCAACGCCCUUCGGGGCUCCGUGGUGAUUCAUGAUAACUUCACGAACCGCAUGGCCUUGCGCCGGCGGUGGUUCAUUCAAAUUUCUGCCCUAUCAACUUUCGAUUGUUGGGUAUUGGCCAACAAUGGUUACGACGGGUAACGGGGAAUUAGGGUUCGAUUCCGGAGAGGGAGCCUGAGAAACGGCUACCACAUCCAAGGAAGGCAGCAGGCGCGCAAAUUACCCAAUCCCGACGCGGGGAGGUAGUGACAAUAAAUACUGAUACAGGGCUCUUUUGGGUCUUGUAAUUGGAAUGAGUACAAUUUAAAUACCUUAACGAGGAACAAUUGGAGGGCAAGUCUGGUGCCAGCAGCCGCGGUAAUUCCAGCUCCAAUAGCGUAUAUUAAAGUUGUUGCAGUUAAAAAGCUCGUAGUUGAACCUUGGCCCUGGCUAACCGGUCCGCCUCACCGCGUGCACUGGUCCGGCCGGGGCUUUCCUCCUGGGGAUCCGCAUGGUCUUUACUGGUCGUGUCGGGGAACCAGGACUUUUACUUUGAAAAAAUUAGAGUGUUCAAAGCAGGCAUCCGCUCGAAUACAUUAGCAUGGAAUAAUGGAAUAGG